RNAcentral lists this signal recognition particle RNA (92 nucleotides) under candidate division TM6 bacterium RIFCSPHIGHO2_12_FULL_36_22. RNAcentral's name for it is "signal recognition particle sRNA small type". It matches the Rfam family "Bacterial small signal recognition particle RNA". Rfam says of the family: The signal recognition particle (SRP) is a universally conserved ribonucleoprotein involved in the co-translational targeting of proteins to membranes. Archaeal SRP consists of a 7S RNA and homologues of the eukaryotic SRP19 and SRP54 proteins. In most bacteria, the SRP consists of a 4.5S RNA and the Ffh protein (a homologue of the eukaryotic SRP54 protein). The record is from RNAcentral.
AUUGGGAAGUUCUAAGAAUCGACAUGCUUUACUUUGUCAGGUCCGAAAGGAAGCAGCAAGAAGUGUGUGGGUUUUGUAGGCUUCCCUUAUUU